This 801-nucleotide ribosomal RNA is filed under the name Triticum aestivum (bread wheat). Its description in RNAcentral is "partial small subunit ribosomal RNA". The record is from RNAcentral. Lineage: Eukaryota; Viridiplantae; Streptophyta; Magnoliopsida; Poales; Poaceae.
AUGCAAUUUUUGGAGCACUGUGAAGCAGGCAUAUGGGGUUCUCGCUUCGGGAUGGAUGAACCCCCACUCGCCCAGGCUGACACGUGCAGCGGGAAAUUGCUAGAGGCGGCCACGCCUUGCUGCGAAGCGGACCGAACCGAAGAAAAAAAAGAGACUAAUCUAAUCCCCAAUCCCACGCCGCCGCCGCCGCCGCCGCCGCUCCUCCCACCCACCUUCAAGGAAGCGACGACGGCCGCUGCGGAGAACGAGAAGCACGACGAGCCUCCUCUUCUCUUCUCUCUUUCUCUCUCCCUCCCUCCUCUCCCGCUCCAAUCCUCCCCUCCCUCUGCCCCCAUCGCCGCCGCUCCACCACCCAAGCCACCGACGAGCCCCACCCACCCAGGGCACGGCCCUUUCACCCACCGACGCCGCCCGCCACUCACCGUCUCUCACUCUCCAGCCGGGACGCCACAGAUCGAUUCGGAGCAGGCCAGGCGGCGCCAUGGCCGCGUCCGGACUUCCGGACGCGCGCCGUCGUCGAGCUGGGCUCCGCCGGGAGAGGAGGACCGAGGGGGCGGCCACUGGGUGCUUCUUCUCUCGGGACGCCGCUCUUCGGCUGCUCUUACCGACCCUGCUGGUGCCGCGAAAUGGAGCUUCCGCUGCUACUCUUCUCCCUGCCUCCCUGUCUCUGUUCGAUUCAACCGCGGUUCGCUGAUGGGGGACUCUUCUUCAACUCCCCACCUGCCCCUCAGGUGGAGCUGCAGAGGUCCAUCAGGCAGGAGGUCUCUGUCUCCGUUCAAGGGGCAGCUAGUAGAUGGAUGA